Molecule: ribosomal RNA, 783 nt
Filed under: Triticum aestivum (bread wheat)
Lineage: Eukaryota; Viridiplantae; Streptophyta; Magnoliopsida; Poales; Poaceae
Description: partial small subunit ribosomal RNA
Source: RNAcentral
AUGUUGUCCAUUGAACAUUGCUGGUGUCUCAGGUCAUUAGGGGGCUUACGAGCUGCUACCUCUGUUUCGGAUGUUGGGAUGGUUUCAUGCCCUUCUUUACAGUUGGCACGCGGAGCAGAAUGUUUGCCAUUAUCCCUUCAGAGCCUCAGUAUAGACAAUUGUGUGAUUGCAGCUGACUUCCUCUGUACUGACUGGCCACACAUGAAUAAUAUUCGUAUAACCAAUUGCAGAAGCACCACAUGCUUGUCUGUUGGUGGUCUCACCUCUGUUAAAACAUUCUCAUUGUAUCACUUGCCAGAUUUGUGUAUCCUCGAAGGAUUGUCUUCCCUGCAACUUCACCACGUACGUUUGGUUGAUGUUCCGAAACUCACUGCCGAGUGUAUCUCACAGUUUCGCGUCCAGGACAAACUCUGUGUUAGUAGUCCUGUGGUACUCAACGACAUGCUCUCGGCUGAAGGUUUUGCAGUCCCAACAUUUCUCGCUCUUGAAGGAUGCAACGAGUCAUUCAUUUCAUUUGAAAAAUCUGCAAAUGUCACAUCUGUCCAGAACCUGAGAUUUGAAGAUUGUCAAAUGAUGUCCCUGCCAACUAGUCUGACGUGCUUCUCCAAUCUGAAAAAUCUUGUCAUCUUUGGCUGCCCCAACAUAUCAUCUUUACCGGACCUGCCAUCCUCCCUCCAGCGCAUAUGCAUUUGGGGUGGUUGUGAGCUCUUGAAGGAGAGCUGCCGAGCACCUGAUGGAGAAAGUUGGCCAAAGAUCGCGCAUAUCCGCUGGAAGGAUUUAUAA